CCGUUGACUCAAGUCAAAACGUCGAGAGAAAAAAUUAACAAAUAUGGGUGCAUACUUUCAUACAAAGAGUGAAAACGAGAGCUAAAUCAUAAAAAGAACAAGAAAAAAUAAGCGAAAUAAUAGAAAUAACAAAAUCCCCAACUAGCAACUCGUCUUAGUCUUCGUUUGCAUUGCAUUAAGGAAUUCUCAACGCACUGACUGGUGUGACAAUAUAGCCUAACAAGUAUUCAUUAUUUAACUGUGGAAAUCAUUGACGUUUCACCCACGGUAGGGUAUAGCCUGUGACAGCACAUUGAAUGUAGGAGCUUGGAGUCCAACUGCUGACAUACGUGGAUCUUUUUUCUUUUCUUAUAGACCAAAUGUACAGCUGUUUCGAAGUUAUGCGACUAAUUGUCAUAAAUUACCUUUAAGUCACAAUGGGGAAAAUAAAUGGAGAAUUUUGCUGUCUCAUUUGAUCCCUGACCCUUCGAUUUUCCUGCUGAGAGCGACCAAAUCCAGAGGCGUUUAUUUCCCACCCCUACUGAGGAUGUCGCGCAGUUGGAAACUCAAAACCUCGAGCAACGAUUCAAUGCAUAAUUACUGUUAUACAAUUCACCUUGUAUUUCUGUAAUUUAUUUAUAAGUUGAUCUAUUGUUUAAUCGUGUAUCUUUAUUUUCUAAUCGCUGAUCUCUUUCUGUAUUUCCUGUUAUCUUCUUUAAUUCCUUUCAAAUGAACGCCAUAUUCUUUGGAACCUUGAAAUUCCAGUCAGUGACUCCUGUUGGCUUGUUCAUCUUCUGAAUGAUAAUAAUCUGAAUAGGAAUAAUUUUAGAGAAGGAGUGACACUUCAAGUGGUGUGCCCUCACGCUCGUACCAUUCUGAAAGAUACUCGUAGGAUUCAAAGCUUUGCAUAAAAUCAGAUGGUCAUUAUUGUAAUAAAGUACAUGAACACUUCCAGAGAGCAAUGCACUUGGGGCUGAAUGGAUACCGAAAUGAAUCUUUAGCACUGUUUACAUUGUUCUUAGGCUCAGAUUUUACUUCCUGCUUGGAUUUACUUCAGGUCAAUUCAAAGAUCAAAAGUACUAUGUCUAUCCGGUAAGUGGUGCCUUUGGAAUAAUUUCCAUGUUGGGUUUACACUUCAUACACAUCUACAUUCACAUUCUACCAAUAAUUCUUCUUAGUAUGAGCUUAGGCGAUCAAGAGUUUUCUUCCUUGGCACAUACUUAGUGCACUUACAGUCAGAAUUCCCUUGUGGUUUCAGAUCGUGUCUUGCCCCCAAGUUGCUUCUCCCUUCAUCAUAAACUUAGCUUUGCUUCCUUUCAUUUUCAGUUUUCAGCUCUCCUUUCCAGUCUUCAAUCUUUCAGAUAAUACUCUAAGACUUCUUUCUCUGACUUAGCUGUUAAAACCCGGACUCUUCAAGCAGAAACUCCUAGGGGCCUCCCUUUCCUUAUUUCUCUGUAACUUGAUUGGUGAUGAAGGGCCCUGUGCUGAUCUGUGAUAGGCAUUAGUAAGUAAGAUAGACCCCAGGGUUUUUGUAGCCUUGCACUGGACCUUUUUCUCUCCUUAUGCUGAGUUAUUACGCACCCCUUGUUAUUUUUUGCCCCUUUGGUAGUUCGUUCAUUCUGUUUGCUACCAUUUCCACCUGUCACUUGAAAUCAGAUCCUUUAGGAGAUCUUCAUGAAAGGGAAGUUUUCACUCAAUAGUUCCUUGACACUGCAGUUUUACAAUAACAAUAAUGAUAAAAAAAAAUCCCUCUCUCUCUCUCUCUCUCUCUCUCUCUCUCUCUCUCUCUCUCUCUCUCUCUCUCUCUCUCUCUCUCUUGCAUCUCAAAGAGAUAAUGUUAAAAGUCACACUCAAACAACGACUGUGGCAAUGAAAAUCUUUUCCUUCUUACUUGGCCUAUAGUAAAAAAAGAAUGCAGGAUACCCUCUUUGGGUAAGGUACUGUGUUUAGAUAUGUACUUAUAAAGUUGAAAGAAUUUGGUAAAAGUAUUCAGAUUGUUUUCUGUUUUGUUAUUAAUUAAUUUUAAAGUUAUAUAACUGAAUACUGUUGUGGGUAAGUCAUUGUGAUAUGUAAAUCGUUGCCUGAUAACUUUUUUUUUAAUAAAAAUUCUUGUGUUUAUUUAUUAUUAGAAAUAUAUCAUGCUCUCUCUCUCUCUCUCUCUCUCUCUCUCUCUCUCUCUCUCUCUCUCUCUCUCUCUCCUCGCAUCUCAAAGAGAUAAUGUUAAA
Molecule: long non-coding RNA, 2204 nt
Organism: Macrobrachium nipponense
Lineage: Eukaryota; Metazoa; Arthropoda; Malacostraca; Decapoda; Palaemonidae
Exons: 3
Source: RefSeq, a predicted model, not a curated record